Caenorhabditis elegans is the source of this 213-nucleotide non-coding RNA. The record is from Ensembl. Lineage: Eukaryota; Metazoa; Nematoda; Chromadorea; Rhabditida; Rhabditidae.
UUCUUGGAAAAUUUUCCGUUUUCCGUUUUCCGCUCUCCAAAUGAGUCCAAUUAUAAAAGGGAACCGUCACGUGGAAUGUUUCAUUCAAUUGGCCUCGGCUUCUGCUUUCCGUCGUCACCUUGUUAGGAAUAUACCGGAAUCGAAUUUGAUUGGUGUCGGGAGUGUUCAAAGUUUUGACGGAAAGACGACGACCGAGAGAUACUUUUUCUCACA